This 478-nucleotide ribosomal RNA is filed under the name uncultured bacterium. Its description in RNAcentral is "bacterial SSU rRNA". It matches the Rfam family "Bacterial small subunit ribosomal RNA", at positions 20 to 518 of the family's 1533-position model. The record is from RNAcentral.
UGGCUCAGGACGAACGCUGGCGGCGUGCUUAACACAUGCAAGUCGAACGGGAGUAUUGAAGAAGCUUGCUUUAGAGAUACUUAGUGGCGGACGGGUGAGUAACGCGUGAGGAGCUGUCCUAUGCAGGGGGACAACAGCUGGAAACGGCUGCUAAUACCCCAUAAGCCGAGAGGUAAAAGGAUCAAUCCGGCAGAGGAGGUACUCGCGUCCUAUCAGCUAGUAGGUGAGGUAACGGCUCACCUAGGCGAAGACGGGUAGCCGGCCUGAGAGGGCGAACGGCCACACUGGAGCUGAGAUACGGUCCAGACUCCUACGGGAGGCAGCAGUGGGGAAUAUUGGGCAAUGGGGGGAAAAACCCCUGACCCAGCGACGCCGCGUGGGUGAAGAAAUCCUUCGGGAUGUAAAGCCCUGUUGUAUGGGAAGAGCGGAAGACGGUACCAUACGAGGAAGCCCCGGCAAACUACGUGCCAGCCGCCGC